UUUUUAAAAUUAUAGCGUUUCUAACUUUUUAUCAGAUUUUUUAUGCUAAACAAAACAAUUUCAUUUCUUAAAUUCAUUUUAGAGAAUACAACCACCUUUAAACAUUAGUUAUGCACUGCUACCAUGGACAGAAGGUGCGUUAUUCUGGCUAUUUAUUGUCUAAGCAAAUACUCACAUGGUUUCGGGAGCUCCUCUACUUUCCUGUUAUUUAUAACUGCUUUUAACUUCCUGUCUUUCACUCUUUGUAGAUUUUCUGCCACCAGUAAUUCUACUCUGCCUGUUGUUUGGUUAACUAUUUUGGCUUCUUGCCAGUUUAUGUGGACAUUGCUCUGGUAGGCUUUGGUCGCCAGUGCUGUAGUCAAGCUUGCCGU
This 371-nucleotide long non-coding RNA is filed under the name Androctonus crassicauda. Lineage: Eukaryota; Metazoa; Arthropoda; Arachnida; Scorpiones; Buthidae. The record is from RNAcentral.